Sapajus apella (tufted capuchin) is the source of this 129-nucleotide long non-coding RNA. RefSeq lists it as uncharacterized. The record is from RefSeq and is a predicted model, not a curated record. The transcript has 3 exons. Lineage: Eukaryota; Metazoa; Chordata; Mammalia; Primates; Cebidae.
CUUCUCCACCUGGAGGUAAUGGAACCCACCACUGCCCCACUCAGCCUUGCAACCACCUUCCCUGUCAGAGUAGUGUAAGAAAAAAACAGUGGGGCCGGGCGCGGUGGCUCAAGCCUGUAAUCCCAGCAC